GGUUAAGCGACUAAGCGUACACGGUGGAUGCCCUGGCAGUCAGAGGCGAUGAAGGACGUGCUAAUCUGCGAAAAGCGUCGGUAAGGUGAUAUGAACCGUUAUAGCCGGCGAUGUCCGAAUGGGGAAACCCAGUGUGAUUCGUCACACUAUCGUUAACUGAAUACAUAGGUUAACGAGGCGAACCGGGGGAACUGAAACAUCUAAGUACCCCGAGGAAAAGAAAUCAACCGAGAUUCCCCCAGUAGCGGCGAGCGAACGGGGAGCAGCCCAGAGUCUGAAUCAGCUUGUGUGUUAGUGGAACGGUCUGGAAAGUCCGACGGUACAGGGUGAUAGUCCCGUACACCAAAAUGCACAGGUUGUGAACUCGAAGAGUAGGGCGGGACACGUGGUAUCCUGUCUGAAUAUGGGGGGACCAUCCUCCAAGGCUAAAUACUCCUGACUGACCGAUAGUGAACCAGUACCGUGAGGGAAAGGCGAAAAGAACCCCGGCGAGGGGAGUGAAAAAGAACCUGAAACCGUGUACGUACAAGCAGUGGGAGCACCUUCGGGUGUGACUGCGUACCUUUUGUAUAAUGGGUCAGCGACUUAUAUUCUGUAGCAAGGUUAACCGUAUAGGGGAGCCGCAGGGAAACCGAGUCUUAACUGGGCGUUAAGUUGCAGGGUAUAGACCCGAAACCCGGUGAUCUAGCCAUGGGCAGGUUGAAGGUUGGGUAACACUAACUGGAGGACCGAACCGACUAAUGUUGAAAAAUUAGCGGAUGACUUGUGGCUGGGGGUGAAAGGCCAAUCAAACCGGGAGAUAGCUGGUUCUCCCCGAAAGCUAUUUAGGUAGCGCCUCGUGAAUUCAUCUUCGGGGGUAGAGCACUGUUUCGGCUAGGGGGUCAUCCCGACUUACCAACCCGAUGCAAACUACGAAUACCGAAGAAUGUUAUCACGGGAGACACACGGCGGGUGCUAACGUCCGUCGUGAAGAGGGAAACAACCCAGACCGCCAGCUAAGGUCCCAAAGUCACAGUUAAGUGGGAAACGAUGUGGGAAGGCACAGACAGCCAGGAUGUUGGCUUAGAAGCAGCCAUCAUUUAAAGAAAGCGUAAUAGCUCACUGGUCGAGUCGGCCUGCGCGGAAGAUGUAACGGGGCUAAACUGUGCACCGAAGCUGCGGCAGCGACACUAUGUGUUGUUGGGUAGGGGAGCGUUCUGUAAGCCUGCGAAGGUGGCCUGUGAGGGUUGCUGGAGGUAUCAGAAGUGCGAAUGCUGACAUAAGUAACGAUAAUGCGGGUGAAAAGCCCGCACGCCGGAAGACCAAGGGUUCCUGUCCAACGUUAAUCGGGGCAGGGUGAGUCGACCCCUAAGGCGAGGCCGAAAGGCGUAGUCGAUGGGAAACAGGUUAAUAUUCCUGUACUUGGUGUUACUGCGAAGGGGGGACGGAGAAGGCUAUGUUAGCCGGGCGACGGUUGUCCCGGUUUAAGCAUGUAGGCGGAGGUUCCAGGUAAAUCCGGUACCUUUUUAACGCUGAGGUGUGAUGACGAGGCACUACGGUGCUGAAGUAACAAAUGCCCUGCUUCCAGGAAAAGCCUCUAAGCAUCAGGUAACAUUAAAUCGUACCCCAAACCGACACAGGUGGUCAGGUAGAGAAUACCAAGGCGCUUGAGAGAACUCGGGUGAAGGAACUAGGCAAAAUGGUGCCGUAACUUCGGGAGAAGGCACGCUGAUAUGUAGGUGAAGCCCCUGCGGGUGGAGCUGAAAUCAGUCGAAGAUACCAGCUGGCUGCAACUGUUUAUUAAAAACACAGCACUGUGCAAACACGAAAGUGGACGUAUACGGUGUGACGCCUGCCCGGUGCCGGAAGGUUAAUUGAUGGGGUUAUCCGUAAGGAGAAGCUCUUGAUCGAAGCCCCGGUAAACGGCGGCCGUAACUAUAACGGUCCUAAGGUAGCGAAAUUCCUUGUCGGGUAAGUUCCGACCUGCACGAAUGGCGUAAUGAUGGCCAGGCUGUCUCCACCCGAGACUCAGUGAAAUUGAACUCGCUGUGAAGAUGCAGUGUACCCGCGGCAAGACGGAAAGACCCCGUGAACCUUUACUAUAGCUUGACACUGAACAUUGAGCCUUGAUGUGUAGGAUAGGUGGGAGGCUUUGAAGCGUGGACGCCAGUCUGCGUGGAGCCAACCUUGAAAUACCACCCUUUAAUGUUUGAUGUUCUAACGUUGGCCCCUUAUCGGGGUUGCGGACAGUGUCUGGUGGGUAGUUUGACUGGGGCGGUCUCCUCCCAAAGAGUAACGGAGGAGCACGAAGGUUAGCUAAUCCUGGUCGGACAUCAGGAGGUUAGUGCAAUGGCAUAAGCUAGCUUGACUGCGAGCGUGACGGCGCGAGCAGGUGCGAAAGCAGGUCAUAGUGAUCCGGUGGUUCUGAAUGGAAGGGCCAUCGCUCAACGGAUAAAAGGUACUCCGGGGAUAACAGGCUGAUACCGCCCAAGAGUUCAUAUCGACGGCGGUGUUUGGCACCUCGAUGUCGGCUCAUCACAUCCUGGGGCUGAAGUAGGUCCCAAGGGUAUGGCUGUUCGCCAUUUAAAGUGGUACGCGAGCUGGGUUUAGAACGUCGUGAGACAGUUCGGUCCCUAUCUGCCGUGGGCGCUGGAGAAUUGAGGGGGCUGCUCCUAGUACGAGAGGACCGGAGUGGACGCAUCACUGGUGUUCGGGUUGUCAUGCCAAUGGCAUUGCCCGGUAGCUAAAUGCGGAAGAGAUAAGUGCUGAAAGCAUCUAAGCACGAAACUUGCCCCGAGAUGAGUUCUCCCUGAGACUUUAAGUCUCCUGAAGGAACGUUAAAGACGAUGACGUUGAUAGGUCGGGUGUGUAAGCGUAGCGAUACGUUGAGCUAACCGAUACUAAUGAACCGUGAGGCUUAACCUU
This 2904-nucleotide ribosomal RNA is filed under the name Klebsiella aerogenes. RNAcentral describes it as "23S ribosomal RNA". It matches the Rfam family "Bacterial large subunit ribosomal RNA". Lineage: Bacteria; Pseudomonadati; Pseudomonadota; Gammaproteobacteria; Enterobacterales; Enterobacteriaceae. The record is from RNAcentral.